RNAcentral lists this ribosomal RNA (331 nucleotides) under uncultured bacterium. RNAcentral describes it as "bacterial SSU rRNA". It matches the Rfam family "Bacterial small subunit ribosomal RNA", at positions 585 to 915 of the family's 1533-position model. The record is from RNAcentral.
AAGUCAGAUGUGAAAGCCCCGGGCUUAACCUGGGAACUGCAUUUGAAACUGGUCAACUAGAGUAUGGUAGAGGAAAGUGGAAUUUCUGGUGUAGCGGUGAAAUGCGUAGAUAUCAGAAGGAACAUCAAUGGCGAAGGCAGCUUUCUGGACCAAUACUGACGCUGAGGUACGAAAGCGUGGGUAGCAAACAGGAUUAGAUACCCUGGUAGUCCACGCCGUAAACGAUGAUAACUAGCCGUUGGGGGGAUUUACCCUUUAGUGGCGAAGCUAACGCGUUAAGUUAUCCGCCUGGGGAGUACGGCCGCAAGGUUAAAACUCAAAUGAAUUGACG